RNAcentral lists this ribosomal RNA (694 nucleotides) under uncultured Snodgrassella sp. Its description in RNAcentral is "bacterial SSU rRNA". It matches the Rfam family "Bacterial small subunit ribosomal RNA", at positions 662 to 1357 of the family's 1533-position model. Lineage: Bacteria; Pseudomonadati; Pseudomonadota; Betaproteobacteria; Neisseriales; Neisseriaceae. The record is from RNAcentral.
UAGAAUUCCACGUGUAGCAGUGAAAUGCGUAGAGAUGUGGAGGAAUACCGAUGGCGAAGGCAGCCUCCUGGGAUAACACUGACGUUCAUGCUCGAAAGCGUGGGUAGCAAACAGGAUUAGAUACCCUGGUAGUCCACGCCCUAAACGAUGACAAUUAGCUGUUGGGGCACUAGAUGUUUUAGUAGCGAAGCUAACGCGUGAAAUUGUCCGCCUGGGGAGUACGGUCGCAAGAUUAAAACUCAAAGGAAUUGACGGGGACCCGCACAAGCGGUGGAUGAUGUGGAUUAAUUCGAUGCAACGCGAAGAACCUUACCUGGUCUUGACAUGUACGGAAUCUCUUAGAGAUAGGAGAGUGCCUUCGGGAGCCGUAACACAGGUGCUGCAUGGCUGUCGUCAGCUCGUGUCGUGAGAUGUUGGGUUAAGUCCCGCAACGAGCGCAACCCUUGUCAUUAGUUGCCAUCAUUAAGUUGGGCACUCUAAUGAGACUGCCGGUGACAAACCGGAGGAAGGUGGGGAUGACGUCAAGUCCUCAUGGCCCUUAUGACCAGGGCUUCACACGUCAUACAAUGGUCGGUACAGAGGGUAGCGAAGCCGCGAGGUGAAGCCAAUCUCAGAAAGCCGAUCGUAGUCCGGAUUGCACUCUGCAACUCGAGUGCAUGAAGUCGGAAUCGCUAGUAAUCGCAGGUCAGCAUAC